Long non-coding RNA from Oncorhynchus tshawytscha (Chinook salmon), 615 nucleotides. Lineage: Eukaryota; Metazoa; Chordata; Actinopteri; Salmoniformes; Salmonidae. The record is from Ensembl.
ACAUACCCAUCGCUAGGCAGACAUACCCAUCGCUAGGCGGACAUACCCAUCGCUAGGCGGACAUACCCAUCGCUAGGCGGACAUACCCAUCGCUAGGCGGACAUACCCAUCGCUAGGCGGACAUACCCAUCGCUAGGCAGACAUACCCAUCGCUAGGCGGAGGAACCCAUCGCAUGAAACAAAAAAACGCCUUCCCACUGUCCUCCAUAUACAUCCAACUCUCAAAAUUACACGACUAAUUAGCAUUUAACUGUUAUUUCCUUCAUUAGCAGGAAGCUUGGUCAGGUUUUAAUUUGAAUGUAUCAGAGCAUAAACGUGGCCUAUACAUACGGGGACCACAUUACAGCCUCAAUGAACCUCCCAGCCAAUUAAAACAGCUCGUCACAGUACCUCUACCCUGUUACUAGUGUGGCACAUCCCCGGGAUCACAGACACUAACACACACUGUCAGACAUAUACACACACUCAUACACACACUGUCAGAGACACACACACUCAUACACUAACACACACACACACACACACACACACACACUGUCAGACACACACACACUCAUACACUAACACACACACACACACACACUGUCAGACACACACACACUCAUACACUAACAC